This 65-nucleotide transfer RNA is filed under the name Stenopsyche tienmushanensis. RNAcentral describes it as "tRNA-Thr". The record is from RNAcentral. Lineage: Eukaryota; Metazoa; Arthropoda; Insecta; Trichoptera; Stenopsychidae.
GUUUUAAUAAUUUAAAAAAAAAUAUUGAUUUUGUAAAUCAAAAAUAAGACCUACCUUUUAAAACU